GCAGAGUGAAUGUUUAAUUCAUUUAGAAAGUGUUAUAAAAUCACCAAUGUGUUAACAAAAUAUAUUCUGCAGUAAGUUAUUACAUUGAUAGAAUAUUACAUUAUUACAUAAAAAUGGAAAACUUUUAAAUUACUAUAGUCAUUUUAGAUUUGUAUGUUACUUAAAGUGUACAGUCCAAGUGCAUGUUACUGACUCUUGUGUAUUUUAUGAUAAUUAUUUACAAAUAAAACUUAAAAGAAACAGAUAAACCUGCACAUGUUCACACUCAAAGAUUUC
Molecule: long non-coding RNA, 276 nt
Filed under: Bos taurus (domestic cattle)
Lineage: Eukaryota; Metazoa; Chordata; Mammalia; Artiodactyla; Bovidae
Description: long non-coding RNA NONBTAT016192
Source: RNAcentral